GACGAACGCUGGCGGCGUGCUUAACACAUGCAAGUCGAACGGAAAGGCCCUGCUUUUGUGGGGUGCUCGAGUGGCGAACGGGUGAGUAACACGUGAGUAACCUGCCCUUGACUUUGGGAUAACUUCAGGAAACUGGGGCUAAUACCGGAUAGGAGCUCCUGCUGCAUGGUGGGGGUUGGAAAGUUUCGGCGGUUGGGGAUGGACUCGCGGCUUAUCAGCUUGUUGGUGGGGUAGUGGCUUACCAAGGCUUUGACGGGUAGCCGGCCUGAGAGGGUGACCGGCCACAUUGGGACUGAGAUACGGCCCAGACUCCUACGUGAGGCAGCAGUGGGGAAUAUUGCACAAUGGGCCGAAGCCUGAUUCAGCAACGCCGCGUGCGGGAUGACGGCCUUCGGGUUGUAAACCGCUUUCGCCUGUGACGAAGCGUGAGUGACGGUAAUGGGUAAAGAAGCACCGGCUAACUACGUG
Molecule: ribosomal RNA, 468 nt
Filed under: uncultured bacterium
Lineage: Bacteria
Description: partial 16S ribosomal RNA
Rfam family: Bacterial small subunit ribosomal RNA
Source: RNAcentral